Molecule: unclassified non-coding RNA, 880 nt
Filed under: uncultured Synechococcus sp.
Lineage: Bacteria; Bacillati; Cyanobacteriota; Cyanophyceae; Synechococcales; Synechococcaceae
Description: partial may contain 16S ribosomal RNA, 16S-23S ribosomal RNA intergenic spacer, and 23S ribosomal RNA
Rfam family: tRNA (bases 347-419)
Source: RNAcentral
GUCGAAGGUGGGGCUGAUGACUGGGGUGAAGUCGUAACAAGGUAUCCGUACCGGAAGGUGCGGAUGGAUCACCUCCUAACAGGGAGACAACACAAUGAUUUUGAUGCCUGAGUACUUUUAUUCUUAGGCCGAAAUCCUGUCACCUUAGGUCGAUCGGUACCUCAGCUUUGAAGUCAAGGAUCAGCAGCAAUGUUGAUUGCUUGAUGGAGAUUUUUAGUUCCUAAACUUUGUCUAGGUCACACCCCAAAAGGGAUGAGACUCCUGGGCCAUUAGCUCAGGUGGUUAGAGCGCACCCCUGAUAAGGGUGAGGUCCCUGGUUCAAGUCCAGGAUGGCCCAUUCGGUGUUGGGGGUUUAGCUCAGUUGGUAGAGCGCCUGCUUUGCAAGCAGGAUGUCAGGAGUUCGAGUCUCCUAACCUCCACUGACCGAACUUGAUUCCCAUCUCCAAUUUUUUGGAGUUGAGCUCGAUUGGAGUGUGAUUUAGAUGUGUCCGCUGGAUGACCCCAGCUUCCUGUCAUUCCAAGUUUUAGAUUUUAAGUCUUAAAUUUGGUUGAUAAGAUGCUGGGCUCGGAUCAAAUAAUCAAGCAAUUGAUGAUUUGAUUUGAAGUUCUAGCAGAACCUUGACAACUGCAUAGGUGAAGUCUGGAAAAACAAAGCAUCUUACAGAUGCAUUGUUUUGAAUCUGAUCUUCUGAAAGGGAGAUUGGAUCUAGAACAAUGAAAAUUCUUUUGAGCAAGAGCCGAGACUCUUAAAUGUUCUUUGAUUCGUGUCGAGCGAAUCAGAGUUUGAUCUUGUUUUUAGCAAUAAAAACUUGAGAAUCUGCUUUCAACGGCGGUAAGCGUUUAAGAGGUUAAUUGGUCAAGCUACAAAGGGCUCACGGCG